AUUGAACGCUGGCGGCAUGCCUUACACAUGCAAGUCGAACGGUAACAGGUCUUCGGAUGCUGACGAGUGGCGAACGGGUGAGUAAUACAUCGGAACGUGCCUAGUAGUGGGGGAUAACUACUCGAAAGAGUGGCUAAUACCGCAUGAGAUCUACGGAUGAAAGCAGGGGAUCGCACGACCUUGUGCUACUAGAGCGGCCGAUGGCAGAGUAGGUAGUUGGUGGGAUAAAAGCUUACCAAGCCGACGAUCUGUAGCUGGUCUGAGAGGACGAUCAGCCACACUGGGACUGAGACACGGCCCAGACUCCUACGGGAGGCAGCAGUGGGGAAUUUUGGACAAUGGGCGCAAGCCUGAUCCAGCAAUGCCGCGUGCAGGAUGAAGGCCUUCGGGUUGUAAACUGCUUUUGUACGGAACGAAAAGCCCUGGGUUAAUACCCUGGGGUCAUGACGGUACCGUAAGAAUAAGCACCGGCUAACUACGCGCCAGCCGCCGCAGUAA
This 498-nucleotide ribosomal RNA is filed under the name uncultured bacterium. RNAcentral describes it as "partial 16S ribosomal RNA". It matches the Rfam family "Bacterial small subunit ribosomal RNA", at positions 30 to 523 of the family's 1533-position model. The record is from RNAcentral.